This is a long non-coding RNA of Phyllostomus discolor (pale spear-nosed bat), 754 nucleotides long. RefSeq lists it as uncharacterized. The transcript has 2 exons. Lineage: Eukaryota; Metazoa; Chordata; Mammalia; Chiroptera; Phyllostomidae. The record is from RefSeq and is a predicted model, not a curated record.
CCCGAACCGACGGGGCCGGUCACUCCGGCCCCUUCAAAUCCACUCCGCUGGACACACCUAAGGACUUCAGAGGCGCCCGACGUAAAGAAAGCGGCCGCCAACCCUUCCGGGUAGGGAUCAAAGAUGACCUGCAGGCUUAAUGCAAAGGAAAGCCUCGGGAAAAGCGUCUGAAGCUAAAAGGAGCAGCGUGUGGCACUGAAAUUCUAAACUAAGUUGGCAAACUGAAAUUCACUCAGUGGUGGUGGGGACUUACGGUUCAAACGAAACCACCGGCCAAAGGCAGCCCAGGGAAAGAGCUUGAGAAAGGUUCCUAAGCCAAGAAAACUGGCUCCUCUGGACUCCCCAGUGCGUUCGGUGGGAAACCGCCCCGGCAGUGGUCGGGGGGUGGGGGGGAGGACGGGAGCGGCGUAGUCGUGAACCCCACCCCGGGUGAUUACCUCGCCAUUGGUGAUGUUGAUCGCCAGAUAGAUGUCCCCGAAGGAGCCAGACCCGAUCUUCCGUACCAGUUUAUAUUUCCCUCCGACAAUGAAUUCGGCCUUGGAGCCGCUGCUGCUCGCCAUCCUGAGAGACGAAGACGGAGGCUGGGGCCAAGCCCCGACACCUCUUAGAAGAGGACAGAGGCCUCUGCGCUCGUCCCCUGAGCAAGGCUGCGGAGGAGGGCGGCAGGAAACGGAAAACGUUGGCUUUUGGCGUCACAGGGCCCCAGAAUCCGCCAAGGGGAACCCGAUCACCGCUGCUCUGUCCGAUUUUUUUU